GGCCCUGUGGCGGAGCAACGCGGCGGACCUGAAAGUCCGCUCACCCCUGGUUCAACACCAGGGCAGGGCCUCCA
Molecule: transfer RNA, 74 nt
Filed under: Hyphomonas sp.
Lineage: Bacteria; Pseudomonadati; Pseudomonadota; Alphaproteobacteria; Hyphomonadales; Hyphomonadaceae
Description: tRNA-Ser
Source: RNAcentral